This 345-nucleotide ribosomal RNA is filed under the name Triticum aestivum (bread wheat). Its description in RNAcentral is "partial small subunit ribosomal RNA". Lineage: Eukaryota; Viridiplantae; Streptophyta; Magnoliopsida; Poales; Poaceae. The record is from RNAcentral.
AUGGAAAAAGGAACCCAUGUUUCCAUCAAUUUGGGGACUUCUUCAACCUUUCUUGGAUAUGCAUGGAAGUUGUGGAAAGAGGAAAGAUGGCUUGAGUUCGUCGACGAAUCAAUAGUUUCAGAGUCACAUGCAUCAGAGAUAAUGAGGUGUAUCAACAUCGCAUUGCUGUGUGUGCAAGAGAAUGCAGCUGACAGACCCACCACGACAAGCAUGGUUGCAAUGCUAAGCAGCAAAAGUAUGACCCUGCCUGAACCUAAGCAUCCGGCAUAUUUCCACAUAAGGGUAACGGAGGAAGAGCCACCUAGUGCUAAUGAUGUGACGAUGUCUGCUCUACAGGGCAGAUAG